GUCUAUGGCCAUGCCACCCUGAAUGUGCCCGAUCUUGUCUGAAUGUGCCCGAUCUCGUCUGACCUCGAAAACUAAGCAGGGUUGGGCUUGGUUAGUAUGGGGAUGGGAGACCACCUAGGAAUACCAGGUGCUGUAGGUG
Molecule: non-coding RNA, 139 nt
Organism: Pteropus alecto (black flying fox)
Lineage: Eukaryota; Metazoa; Chordata; Mammalia; Chiroptera; Pteropodidae
Source: Rfam